GGCGAGGAUGGAAGGAGAAGCCUCCGUAACUCGACUGGUUAUCAAAACCAUACAUCCAACUAGACCGGCAUCCUUGGAAACGCCACCCCGCAGGAUGGUUGUGAAAAUCUUCCAAACCCGCCUUGAAGGAGACUCCGAGAGGUGCCACCGCGCGGCAGGAAAGGAUGCCAUGCUACAGAACCAUUCCAGCAGACUUCUAAGGUCAGUAUCACCCCAUUUACAGAUGAAACUCAGAAAGCCUCAGCAGCUCACGUGCCCCAGGUCUCAGAGAGACGGGGCAGAGCAAGGAUUGAAACCCAAGCCAGUCUGGCCAGAGGACCCACAUGCUUUCUUCCACUCAGCACGCCACCUCACCAUGACUGCCGGGCCACUGCCAGUCACCACAACCACUGUGUUUCCACCACCUACCCGCACUGCUGGGUCACCACCACUCACCGUGUCAGCUGGUCACCACUCCCCACUACCCCCAGGUCACUCUUCCCCACUACUGCCUACCAGUCACUACUGCCUUAUAAUCACGUUGACAGCCACUGGUGGAUUUUGA
RNAcentral lists this long non-coding RNA (544 nucleotides) under Ailuropoda melanoleuca (giant panda). Its description in RNAcentral is "lncRNA (ENSAMEG00000027554.1)". The record is from RNAcentral. Lineage: Eukaryota; Metazoa; Chordata; Mammalia; Carnivora; Ursidae.